Molecule: ribosomal RNA, 503 nt
Filed under: uncultured bacterium
Lineage: Bacteria
Description: partial 16S ribosomal RNA
Rfam family: Bacterial small subunit ribosomal RNA
Source: RNAcentral
GAUGAACGCUAGCGACAGGCCUAACACAUGCAAGUCGAGGGGCAGCACAUGCGUAGCAAUACAAUGGUGGCGACCGGCGCACGGGUGAGUAACACGUAUGCAACCUACCUGUAAGAGGGGAAUAACCCGGAGAAAUUCGGACUAACACCGCAUAAUACCGAUUAACUGCAUGGUUGAUCGGUUAAAUAUUUAUAGCUUACAGAUGGGCAUGCGUAACAUUAGAUAGUUGGUGAGGUAACGGCUCACCAAGUCAACGAUGUUUAGGGGGUCUGAGGGGAAGGGCCCCCAAACUGGUACUGAGCAACGGACCAGACUCCUACGGGAGGCAGCAGUGAGGAAUAUUGGUCAAUGGGCGAGAGCCUGAACCAGCCAAGUCGCGUGAAGGAAGAAGGUUCUAUGGAUUGCAAACUUCUUUUGUAAGGGAAUAAAAAAGCUUACGUGUAGGCUAUUGUAUGUACUUUACGAAUAAGGAUCGGCUAACUCCGUGCCAGCAGCCGCCGUAA